UACGUAGGCAGCGAGCGUUGUUCGGAAUUACUGGGCGUAAAGAGUGUGUAGGCGGUGCUCUAAGUUCGGUGUGAAAUCUCCUGGCUUAACUGGGAGGGUGCGCCGGAAACUGGGGUGCUCGAGCGUGGGAGAGGAAAGCGGAAUUCCUGGUGUAGCGGUGAAAUGCGUAGAUAUCAGGAGGAACACCGGCGGCGAAGGCGGGUCUCUGGGCCAUAACUGACGCUGAGGAGCGAAAGCGUGGGGAGCGAACAGG
RNAcentral lists this ribosomal RNA (253 nucleotides) under uncultured bacterium. RNAcentral describes it as "partial 16S ribosomal RNA". It matches the Rfam family "Bacterial small subunit ribosomal RNA", at positions 524 to 776 of the family's 1533-position model. The record is from RNAcentral.